This 1101-nucleotide long non-coding RNA is filed under the name Homo sapiens (human). Its description in RNAcentral is "HSALNT0082049". Lineage: Eukaryota; Metazoa; Chordata; Mammalia; Primates; Hominidae. The record is from RNAcentral.
CUUCAGCUCAGACUUACAAGUGAGAACAUGCAGGAUCUGGUUUUCUGUUCCUGGUGCUAAUUGGCUUAGGACAUGGCCUCUAGCUGCAUCCAUGUUGCGGCUAAGGUCAAGAUUUUGUUCCUUUUUAUGGCUGAGUACCUGGUGAUUUUUUAAAAGAAAAGUUUGCUGAACUGAACCAAUUCACACUGAGGCCUGCACGGUGGGGCUUCUGGAAGCAGCACUCUUGCGGAGGCUGCGACCAGGACCCAGUUGGAGGCGCCUGGGUGUAGCGCCUAGGCAGGGAGAAGCCCCGGAGGACGAGGCCUCUGACCGGCCGCAGCACUCAGUUCCCGGCACCGCGGUGAGGACCGCGCCCGCGCCACGCGCGCCGAAAGGACUCCGCGAGCUCCUGCAGGUAACGGGCUCGGUGCAGUCCGGAGCCCAGACCAGGCAGUUGCUGAGUUAUGUCCGGGCGAGAUCGGUGUCCUUCAGGGUGGGAGGCUCAGAAACCCAGCGCGCGAGCCUCUGGGCAGUGAAGGCGAGGAGAGGGGCGCGUGGUCCGGGUCUUCAUCUGGCCGUGCUGGCACCCGCGGCCUGGCCCGCAUUCGCUUCCGGUCUUCAGUCUGUGCUCCAUCAAGGGUGUUCUUUCAAGGUCACACUUUCCUUUCUUCCAACCCUGAGGCUCUUCAGGCCUGGCUUGCUGUCAGCGGACUGUGGUGGCCUUGAAAAGGAAACGUUAUUCUGCUGCUCCUGCGCCACAUUGGAGACAUUAAGAGCAGGAAAAGCUGAACGGGGCUCUCUAGGGACCUUCACUCCAGCAGGCUGCCUUCAUUUUGCGGACUAUGGACACAAGCAAAUCCCUCAGGUACCAGGGAUCUGUUCUCCGUCUCCCUCAUUGCACUUGGAUCAACCCUGCAAGGCUGCCUCUGCCCUGUGUGCUGAAACACCGCCCGGCCGUUUCUUCCCCUGCAUCUGUGCCUCCCUGGGCUGCGCAGAAUACAGGCCCCUCCUUCCCAGGGAUCCACACGAGCCUCACAUUCUUUGCUUUCUCUCUAACUUUCUUCCUUUCUCUCCAGGUUUGGGAAAACUUCAUAUAAUCUUUGUAAGAGUAGCUGAGCAGGA